UCCACGUUGACCGUGGCAGUCUGUCGUGAAAUUACAACACGACACAGGGGUUGCGCUCGUUACCCCACUUAAGGGUACACCUCACGGCACGAGCUGACGACAACCAUGCAGCACCUGUCAUAGGAUCCGAUUUAACGGUCCACCCGACUUUCAUCAGGUAUACUCCUACAAUUUCAAGCCCUGGUAAGGUUCUUCGUUUACCGUCGAAUUAAACCACAUGUUCCACCGCUUGUGCGGGUCCCCGUCUAUUCCUUUGAGUUUUAGUCUUGCGACCGUACUCCCCAGGCGGUGUGCUUAACGCGUUAGCUUUUUUUGACGGCACUAGAAGGGUCGAUACUUCUAAUACCCAGCACACAUCGUUUAGGGCGUGGACUA
Molecule: unclassified non-coding RNA, 375 nt
Filed under: uncultured bacterium
Lineage: Bacteria
Description: contains 16S-23S intergenic spacer region
Source: RNAcentral